UAGAGUUUGAUCCUGGCUCAGAUUGAACGCUGGCGGCAGGCCUAACACAUGCAAGUCGAGCGGAUGAGGGGAGCUUGCUCCCUGAUUUAGCGGCGGACGGGUGAGUAAUGCCUAGGAAUCUGCCUGGUAGUGGGGGAUAACGUUCCGAAAGGAACGCUAAUACCGCAUACGUCCUACGGGAGAAAGCAGGGGACCUUCGGGCCUUGCGCUAUCAGAUGAGCCUAGGUCGGAUUAGCUAGUUGGUGAGGUAAUGGCUCACCAAGGCGACGAUCCGUAACUGGUCUGAGAGGAUGAUCAGUCACACUGGAACUGAGACACGGUCCAGACUCCUACGGGAGGCAGCAGUGGGGAAUAUUGGACAAUGGGCGAAAGCCUGAUCCAGCCAUGCCGCGUGUGUGAAGAAGGUCUUCGGAUUGUAAAGCACUUUAAGUUGGGAGGAAGGGCAUUAACCUAAUACGUUAGUGUUUUGACGUUACCAACAGAAUAAGCACCGGCUAACUUCGUGCCAGCAGCCGCGGUAAUACGAAGGGUGCAAGCGUUAAUCGGAAUUACUGGGCGUAAAGCGCGCGUAGGUGGUUCGUUAAGUUAGAUGUGAAAGCCCCGGGCUCAACCUGGGAACUGCAUCCAAAACUGGCGAGCUAGAGUACGGUAGAGGGUGGUGGAAUUUCCUGUGUAGCGGUGAAAUGCGUAGAUAUAGGAAGGAACACCAGUGGCGAAGGCGACCACCUGGACUGAUACUGACACUGAGGUGCGAAAGCGUGGGGAGCAAACAGGAUUAGAUACCCUGGUAGUCCACGCCGUAAACGAUGUCAACUAGCCGUUGGAAUCCUUGAGAUUUUAGUGGCGCAGCUAACGCAUUAAGUUGACCGCCUGGGGAGUACGGCCGCAAGGUUAAAACUCAAAUGAAUUGACGGG
Molecule: ribosomal RNA, 915 nt
Filed under: uncultured bacterium
Lineage: Bacteria
Description: bacterial SSU rRNA
Rfam family: Bacterial small subunit ribosomal RNA
Source: RNAcentral